This 894-nucleotide ribosomal RNA is filed under the name Neonectria candida. RNAcentral's name for it is "LSU rRNA". It matches the Rfam family "Eukaryotic large subunit ribosomal RNA", at positions 38 to 964 of the family's 3401-position model. Lineage: Eukaryota; Fungi; Ascomycota; Sordariomycetes; Hypocreales; Nectriaceae. The record is from RNAcentral.
GCAUAUCGAUAGCGGAGGAAAAGAAACCAACAGGGAUGCCCUUAGUAACGGCGAAGUGAAGCGGCAACAGCUCAAAUUUGAAAUCUGGCCCCCGGGUCCGAGUUGUAAUUUGUAGAGGAUGCUUUUGGUGCGGUACCUUCCGAGUUCCCUGGAACGGGACGCCAUAGAGGGUGAGAGCCCCGUCUGGUUGGACGCCAAUCCUUUGUAAAGCUCCUUCAACGAGUCGAGUAGUUUGGGAAUGCUGCUCUAAAUGGGAGGUAUAUGUCUUCUAAAGCUAAAUAUUGGCCAGAGACCGAUAGCGCACAAGUAGAGUGAUCGAAAGAUGAAAAGCACUUUGAAAAGAGAGUUAAAAAGUACGUGAAAUUGUUGAAAGGGAAGCGCUCAUGACCAGACUUGGGCUUGGUUGAUCAUCCAGGGUUCUCCCUGGUGCACUCUUCCAGCCCAGGCCAGCAUCAGUUCGCUGUGGGGGAUAAAGGCUUCGGGAAUGUGGCUCCCUCGGGAGUGUUAUAGCCCGUUGUGUAAUACCCUGUGGUGGACUGAGGUUCGCGCAUUCGCAAGGAUGCUGGCGUAAUGGUCAUCAGCGACCCGUCUUGAAACACGGACCAAGGAGUCGUCUUCGUAUGCGAGUGUUCGGGUGUCAAACCCCUACGCGUAAUGAAAGUGAACGCAGGUGAGAGCUUCGGCGCAUCAUCGACCGAUCCUGAUGUUCUCGGAUGGAUUUGAGUAAGAGCAUACGGGGCCGGACCCGAAAGAAGGUGAACUAUGCCUGUAUAGGGUGAAGCCAGAGGAAACUCUGGUGGAGGCUCGCAGCGGUUCUGACGUGCAAAUCGAUCGUCAAAUAUGGGCAUGGGGGCGAAAGACUAAUCGAACCUUCUAGUAGCUGGUUUCCGCCGA